CGGGCGGUGCGCUCGGGAGCCCGUGACGCUAGGGCUCCCGAGCUGCUUGCGGCCUGGGCGUCGUCCCCCAGCUCGGGUCCCCAACUACGACAGCGAGCCGAGGCCUCGGAGGGCACCGCCCACCGGGGCCCCGGGUCCUCCGACCAGGCGAAGCUUCGCCGGCUACCGAGAACCCCGGCCGGGAUGCACUUCAGCACAGUCACCAGGGACAUGGAAGGUGAGCCUCCUAGCCGCGUCAACACCGGCCUGCGUCAGCCCCCUGCCCCGGCUGCCUGAAGCCUCACCGCAAAUAGAGCUCCUGGCCGGUUGGGUUCCAUGGUCGCAGCUCAGGCUCUGGGGCAGGGAGGAAGGCCUGGCAUUCCCCCAAAGCCUGUCCACCCACCAGCUGGGGACCCUGCCUUGGAGACUAGCACGAAGCUAGAUGCAGGCCCGGAAGAGGGAAACUGAGCACAGAGGUGGCCAUGAGCUUGGAGAGGUGGCAGGAGAGAUGAUGAAAAAGACGAUCCGUGUGUCAGGGAACACAGAAAAAAGAGGAGAAACAAAAACCAAAUCAAACAAACAAACAAAAAUGGUGAGGGCGGCCAAGAGGAAAAGAAAUUGAGACAAGGAGAGAAAACCCAGUAAGGUAGGAAAGAAAAAAAAGAAAGACAUGAAAAAGAAAUUAGCAAGACGAAAAAGAGAAAACGAAGGAAAAAUUGAAGACAGUAAUUUAAAAAAAAAAGAACAAAAGAGAUUCCAGAUUUUAUUUUUAUUUAAAGAAGAAAACAACAUGAAUAAGAGAACAUGUAGAAAUAAAAGAAAAAAGGGAAAGAGAAAGAAAGACAAAGAGUGAUGACAGUGGAAAGAAAGGACAGGAACAUAGGAAAAAAGAAAGAGAUAAACAGAACUAAUGAGAAACUAAGGAGAUACUAGAAGGAGAGGUGAUUAGGAAAAUGUUAAAUGAGGGAGACAAAGGUAAAGAAAAAAUUGGGAAAAGAAAGUCUGGGAGCGAGAAAAGAACUACAACGCGGGAGGGCGGCAGAGCAGGGGCUGCCGACGGGCUCGGCACUCCGGGGAGCCGGU
RNAcentral lists this long non-coding RNA (1062 nucleotides) under Cavia porcellus (domestic guinea pig). RNAcentral describes it as "lncRNA (ENSCPOG00000030165.1)". Lineage: Eukaryota; Metazoa; Chordata; Mammalia; Rodentia; Caviidae. The record is from RNAcentral.